This 492-nucleotide ribosomal RNA is filed under the name uncultured bacterium. RNAcentral describes it as "partial 16S ribosomal RNA". It matches the Rfam family "Bacterial small subunit ribosomal RNA", at positions 29 to 507 of the family's 1533-position model. The record is from RNAcentral.
AGUGAACGCUGGCGGUAGGCCUAACACAUGCAAGUCGAACGGCAGCACAGUAAGAGCUUGCUCUUACGGGUGGCGAGUGGCGGACGGGUGAGGAAUACAUCGGAAUCUACUUUUUCGUGGGGGAUAACGUAGGGAAACUUACGCUAAUACCGCAUACGACCUACGGGUGAAAGCAGGGGAUCUUCGGACCUUGCGCGAUUGAAUGAGCCGAUGUCGGAUUAGCUAGUUGGCGGGGUAAAGGCCCACCACGGCGACGAUCCGUAGCUGGUCUGAGAGGAUGAUCAGCCACACUGGAACUGAGAAACGGUCCAGACUCCUACGGGAGGCAGCAGUGGGGAAUAUUGGACAAUGGGCGCAAGCCUGAUCCAGCCAUACCGCGUGGGUGAUGAAGGCCUUCGGGUUGUAAAGCCCUUUUGUUGGGAAAGAAAAGCAGCAGGUUAAUACCCCGCUGUUCUGACGGUACCCAAAGAAUAAGCACCGGCUAACUUCGUG